RNAcentral lists this ribosomal RNA (160 nucleotides) under uncultured bacterium. RNAcentral's name for it is "partial 16S ribosomal RNA". It matches the Rfam family "Bacterial small subunit ribosomal RNA", at positions 338 to 513 of the family's 1533-position model. The record is from RNAcentral.
CCUACGGGAGGCAGCAGUGGGGAAUAUUGCACAAUGGGGGGAAACCCUGAUGCAGCGACGCCGCGUGGAGGAAGAAGGUCUUCGGAUUGUAAACUCCUGUUGUUGGGGAAGAUGAAUGACGGUACCCAACAAGGAAGUGACGGCUAACUACGUGCCAGCA